This 73-nucleotide transfer RNA is filed under the name Caudoviricetes sp. RNAcentral's name for it is "tRNA-Gly". It matches the Rfam family "tRNA". Rfam says of the family: Transfer RNA (tRNA) molecules are approximately 80 nucleotides in length. Their secondary structure includes four short double-helical elements and three loops (D, anti-codon, and T loops). The record is from RNAcentral. Lineage: Duplodnaviria; Heunggongvirae; Uroviricota; Caudoviricetes.
GCAGAAUUGGUGUUAAUGGCUAGCAUGCGACCCUUCCAAGGUCAGGGAGAGAGUUCGAAUCUCUUAUUCUGCA